This 504-nucleotide ribosomal RNA is filed under the name uncultured bacterium. Its description in RNAcentral is "partial 16S ribosomal RNA". It matches the Rfam family "Bacterial small subunit ribosomal RNA", at positions 29 to 523 of the family's 1533-position model. The record is from RNAcentral.
AUUGAACGCUGGCGGCAGGCCUAACACAUGCAAGUCGAACGGUAGCACAGAGAGCUUGCUCUCGGGUGACGAGUGGCGGACGGGUGAGUAAUGUCUGGGAAACUGCCCGAUGGAGGGGGAUAACUACUGGAAACGGUAGCUAAUACCGCAUAACGUCGCAAGACCAAAGUGGGGGACCUUCGGGCCUCACACCAUCGGAUGUGCCCAGAUGGGAUUAGCGAGUAGGUGGGGUAAUGGCUCACCUAGGCGACGAUCCCUAGCUGGUCUGAGAGGAGGACCAGCCGCACUGGAACUGAGGCACGGUCCAGGCUCCUACGGGAGGCAGCAGUUGGGAAUAUUGCACAAUGGGCGCAAGCCUGAUGCAGCCAUGCCGCGUGUAUGAAGAAGGCCUUCGGGUUGUAGAGUACUUUCAGCGGGGAGAAAGGCGGUGAAGUUAACAGCUUCACCGAUUGACGUUACCCGCAGAAGAAGCACCGGCUAACUCCGUGCCAGCAGCCGCCGUAA